CACUGGUGGCAGAGGAAACAUAGGAAAAUUUGAAUCUAGAACCUUCAGAAAUUUUUCUACUGAAAAAUGGGGAAGGCAUCAUGAAAUGAGAAAGAUGGAGGUGGAAGGUGGAAUUAAUUAAAAUUAUUCAUUAGGAAUGUGGACCAUACCAAAGAUCUACCAUCUUAUCAGGUAAUUGAUGGUUGAUCAAUUGAUUGGUUGAGAGUGAGUGUGGAAUUGAAGCAUAAACCAGUUAGUUAUACCCAG
Molecule: long non-coding RNA, 246 nt
Filed under: Sarcophilus harrisii (Tasmanian devil)
Lineage: Eukaryota; Metazoa; Chordata; Mammalia; Dasyuromorphia; Dasyuridae
Description: lncRNA (ENSSHAG00000028998.1)
Source: RNAcentral